CACUGAUUUUAAUACAGAUAGAAUUGGAGGGAGGGGGGAAAAGCGAGGGAAACAUUUUUAUCCCAGUACACAGCAAAACCCUUAAGCAAGAAGAACAUCCCGCCACAUGCACCCAGAGACACUUUGCUCAGCUGUACAACACCAACUUAACUCCAGCUUUCAGUGGCUUUUCCCUGUACAAAGGCUUCGCUCUGACAAUGUCAUGUGUGUGGAAAGCUGACACUUAGAUCUUUUAAAAAGAAAUGAAGAAAAAUAAGCUGUUGACUUCUUGGUUAAAGUAUUUUCUUGUUCUAACUCAUGUUCUUAUGUCACUGGGCUAAAAAAAAAAGAGAGAGAAGGAGAGAGAGAUAUGACUUUCCUUGAAUGAUCUGUUUAACCUAAGCCAGAGGAAAAAAAAAGAAGUCAUUAAUUACUUAUGUGAGCUAUUGCUUCUGAAAGACAAUAAACCUGCCUGGUCGCCAUGGAUAUGACAUAUUUGCUCUGAAAACAACACAAUAAUUAGCAAAGGGGAAAGAUACAAGGAGAAUAUGCAAACUCCUGAGUUUAAAGCCAUAGUGUUUCCUUUUUUUCCCCCUCCUCUUUUUACUUGUCAGAGUAAAUUCUGUUUGCAAUUCAAAUCAAACAAAUAAACAGAAUACUUACAAAAAAUUUUAAAUGAUCUCCUGCACAUCAAAUCACACACACAAACACACACACAGAGAGGAAAAAAAAAAAAAAAAGGAAAAAAAAGGAAACAAUUUACAAGGAAAAAAUAUUUAAGUCUAGUAUGGACAGAUCAUAAAUCACUUGAUGUUUUCCGUAUAUGUGUAUGUAUGCAUAUAUAUAUAUCUAUAUCUAUAUAUGUGAAAUAUAAAUGUAUAUACACACACAAUUAUAUAUGAGUAAUAAGAGUUACAUACCCUAUUUCCUCUAGGAUUAUUAUUUUUAGGAUCUGUAUACAAGUACACCAAGAGGAAAAACAUCUCUCAUUUAGGGAGUGGAAACAUUUUGAAGAUACACUAAAAGAAAGUACAACAAGGGGUUCUUUUACUGUGUCAAACAUGCAUUAUGUUGGUAGUAUAUUUUUUGCAAAUCUUUGAACUUUUCUCUAAAAGAUGAGCAAAAAACCCACAACUGGUGUAUACUGUGCAUCAGCCUAAGCAACACACCGGCUUACCAGGACUUCUCAAAUUUUAAGCAUAAAAAAAAAUUUCUCACCUCAAUUACUUUAGUUCUAAAAGUGAUAUCACACUGAAUCACAUGUAAUAAUGCAAUGGAUAAGUUAAGAAAUAAUGAAAACUGAGUUAUAUGCAGAGAGACUUCUUUGAAAUAAUUUAUAAACGUUGCAGGGAAAAUGUUUUUUAGAUUGCUCUCUCAUUAAGAUGAGACAAAGACUAUUAAAACCUUCUCUAAUGCAGUAGCUUUCUGGAUUCUGACCUUCCACAUUUAGAAACCAAGUAAUAAAAACACCCUAACAAGCACUUUAUCUUUGGAGAUAUUUGACUUUGAACUUAUUUUAACUUUAAAAAGACUUGGAAGGUAUAAAAAUAACAAUAUAGUUGCCACAAGUUUCUGUUGUUGUUGUGUUGACAAAGCUAAAAAAAAAACCUUUAGAACAAAAUAAGCAGAUUAAGGAAACAUCCCCCUAAUUUAACUGUCUCUUUUUCUGUUGGUGUUUUUUUUUUUUUUUUUUUUAAACAAUAGUUUUUAGCUGGACGCUUUGAUCUUGAAAGGGUUCUGCUAUCUUGUGUGAUGAGGGGGGAAAAAUGAUCUGUUUUAAAUGAUGAUGCAAAAAAAAGGAUCAAAGCCCUGACUUUCUGUUAGCCAUAAUAAGUUCUGUCUUGCUCAAAGCUUCAACUUCAGGCUUUAAUAUAUAAAAUAUACAGGAGCCCAGUAAAAGCACUGAAAAGGUACAAAGUCUGAAAACAAAAGGGGACGCUGCUCCUUUAAACGUUUUAGUGCAUAUGGAGUUUGAUUUCUGAAAGAGAUCAGUUUAACAUCUCCAUAGAAACCAGCAACAGAUUAUCAUCAACAGAAUAAAUAACUAGUCUAAUAAAUUAAACAGGAGGCAUAAGAUCUGGAAACUUGAUUACUGAAGUUCAACAAUAUUCUCCCAUAAACUCUUCCAAGCCACCUUUAGGGUAGCUAACAAGGUGGCAGCGACACACAGAUAAAAGGUAGAUGGGAAGCAGGCAGGACUGCUGAAAUGAGAAGUCCGAAACCUUCGCAAGAAAUUAUACCACCCUGACAGUCAGCAAAUCAAUAGAGGAAAUAAAUUCAUCAAUGAAGUUUUGGGAGAGACAGGGGCUACUACUACUGCUCUUCCAGGGAGCGAGCUGCCAGGACCCGCUGUGCAGUGCAGCGCGGACAGGAGGGGGCACACACAAGGUGGACGUGCAGCUCCUGGCAAGUUUCACCUUUCCGACCCCAAAGAGCAGGAGGGCUCGAGCCCAUCGAUCCGACCUGCCGUGAUUCGGAGCGGCCUCGGGCCGCAGCCCACCCCUCAAAGUUUGCCGCACAAGUUGCCCGCCGGCGAGCGGCAGCGCCGGUCCCGCGCCCGCCCGAGCCCCUUGACAGCUCGCUCGCCGCUGCGGGCCGCCUCUGCCCUGCGCCCCGGCCGCCCCUCGCUGCUCCUCUGCUCCCCGGCACUGCUGCUCCGCGGCCGGCGGCGCUCGGGGCCCCAGCACGCCGCCGCUCCUCGCCUUCCCCGUCCGCGCCCCGCGCCCCCCCACCGGCCCGGCUAAUGAGUGACGGCUCGGACACCUGUUCCCCGUCCCCCGAGCCGCCAGCGCGGGCAGCCGCUCCCCCGGGAGUCCCGGCCCGUGCCCCCCACCCGCUGCCACCCCGGUCGUUCGUCCCCCCGCCCGCCACUACCCCGCCGCGCACGGGGGAAAGAAAGGGGGAAAGGGGAAGGAGGCGGAAGGGGGAAACUUCCUGGCUCCGGAUGGCAAAUCAGCUGCACAUUCUGCAAAUACCACCGGGAGGGCGGGCGUCGCGCAAAACCCGGCCUGGAGCCCGCCGCCGCCCGCCCCGGCCCGCCCGGGGUGGGGAAGGGGGGAGCGGCGGGAGGGAGCGGGCACGGAGCGGACUCGAUCUCCAGGCAGGCAGGGCAGGCAGUCAAGGGAGAGGCACCUGCAAAACACGGACUGGAUCACCCUCCCCUGGCAAGGGAAAAGGCGAGAAAGUGUCCCCAUUUCCCUGCCCGCGCGCGCAGCUGUCUGUCCCCUGCCCUGUUCCUGCACUAGCGGUUCCUCUUACCCAUCCGUCGUCCUUCCCAGAGAACCACUGUAAAUUUUAUAAAAUUUUCUAUUUUGCAGUCUGCUGACCCCGUUCACCUUAGUUCCCUGAGACUAAACUCCAUGGAGAUGGCGAAUAACUAGGUUGCAGGCAUCACAUUUCUGUGUUAAACUACUUUCCCCAGCUCCACCUUUCAUUUCACUGAGACAGGUGUUGAACGCAGACUGGUCUUCCUUCUGUUUGGAAGUUUGCUAAUUUUGAAGUGCUGUGGAGCUGGCCUACUUAGGAGGAGCACUUGGGCAAGGGCUUUUGAGGUGGUCCUGUUUGUCACCACAGAUCCUCUUCUGCCUGUGCUCCCCUGCAUGUGGUGGGAGGCUCGGACACCGUUGUGAGCUGUGCCUCUGGCAGCUUUGAGUCUCCUUCCAGACCACAGCUCACUCAAAGCCCAGUCAGCCCCUGGUGUUCACUGUACGAGCCCCAGAGUGUGCAGCUCCUCAGCCAGAUAGAGCAGGAGCAGGUUUAACAGUACUGGAAAAUUCAACAAUAAACCUCAAACAGAAGCUGACUGAGAUGCAUCUGGCAAGCCAGAAUGCUUCAGUACAGAUUCGGUUUUGUUCUUGCCCAUGGGGGUUCCUUGCCCACUGCUUAGGAUUUAUCUUGAACCAGAUGAUGUCUCUCAUUGGGAUUGAAGAUCCUUAACCAAAGAUCUCUAUGGAAAAUGUCUCUCAGUUUUGCUCUUUUUUGUUUCAAGCAUACAACACAGCAGUAGAAAAAAAUCCAAAAGGAAUCUUGGACAUUACUUUCAUUUCCUUUCCUCUUAUAGUUUUCUUUGCUGGCAUUUACUAAACCUGUGAGCCCUUACACAGUUAUGGCUCCCAUCUUCAGUAGUUCCUGCUUGCCUGAUCAUUUAACAAACAGUGGCACAAGAUCAUUGGCAGCUUAGGUUCCACACACUCCUCCAUCUCCAAAGAGGUUUCAUCUAUUCCCAGCCUUUCUUUAGCUACCAUAGCAUGUAGUGAUGCCAUUAGUUGCUGCCCUUGGGGAGAGGACAUCCUGCACACUGCAAGCUUGGUGCUCAUAAGAUAUUGGUUCUAUUGAGCUACAUAUUUCAAAUGAAUUUCCAUGGGCUGAAAUUGCAGGACACAUUUUUGCGAUUUAUCAUUCAGCAAUUAGCAAUGAUAGCAUUCAAACUCAUUGUUAGGUUGUCUGCUGUCCACAAUUCUUGAUUAAACCUAGAAAUUUGUCUCUUAAGCCCUAACUUCAUAGAAGUUGCUUUGCUUUUGCUCAGAGCCCUCAUUUCCACUGUGGAGUGGGGUGGGUGGUAGACAUGCAGGACAUGGUGUCUGUCAAAUCCCCUUGUGAGCUGCUGGGCAGCAGUAAGAUGUGAGCAUGAGGAGGUAAUACAAGUCAUUCAGCACAGAAGUGAGCAAAACACUUGGACUGAUGACAGGACAGCUGUGCGUCAAGCAUACAGGCUAUGUCUUUGCUGCAGAGUAGAGGUUAAUGCAUUUUAUUCACACCCAGCACAUACCCCAGAACACUCCAUCUGGCUAUGCUGUGCAAGUGCAGCUGGAGAAAACUGCAUACCCUUAAAAAUCACUCACACAAGAAAAAUUAUGCUAAAACAACAUGAGAAGGGCAUGAAUUAAAAUGCCAUAAGCAGAGAAAUACAUGCUGAGGGUUCUAACUUUGUCCUCAGGUCACCCUGCUUUCAGCAGAAGGGAAGAAGAAGGAAUGCAAAGGUGUUUGCUGUAGCUCUGAGGCUCAUGGCAAUACUCAGGCUGAGAUGCCAUGCUCCCGCCCACUCGGAGCAGGUGACAUGCUUUCCAUAGGCCUACAUGCCACAUUAAUUCCUCAAAGAAGCACUUAAUCUCUAGUAAAUGAGGAGCUGGAUGAGGUCUAGACCGACCAAACUACCAAACUGGACUGGCCCAGUCACCUAUGCCAUGUGGACUACCCAAGGGCCAUAAGGCGACGGGAGUGACAUUUUCCAAACCCAGCGCAGUGCAGGGUGCUGUCCAGGACCUCUGAUCCUGCUUCACAACUCACUGGAAGAAUGAAGAAAUCACUCAGACAUGCACUAUAAAAAGCCUGUGUAUUUACUUAGUUUCAUAAUGGAAAAUUAAAAGUAAUUGCAGAGGAGGAGGAGGCAUUUUUUUCAGUUGCAAGUACAAUAUUAUCCACUUCCAUAUUUUAUCAUUGGAGUGGCACAAGUAAUCAAGGAGUAUCAUGUGGUCAUUUUUGUCAAGUGCCUUUUUGUCACAGGCAACUAUUUCUUUGCAUGUGCCCAUUUCAGAAGAAGAAAUUGGUUAGAUCCCCAUCGUACCCUGCUCCAAAUGCUCUGUGCAGAGGAGGCAUUGCUUCACACUGGCACUACUGGGGCAAGAAUUAUUUAUAUUGAAGAGGAUCAGGCUCUGCAUUUUGAAACGUCUUUGCUUAGAAAUACAUAUGAUUAAUAUCAGUAUGCAGGUAUGUUAUAUAAAUAUUGAAACCUUGUGGACCUAAUUAAAGGCCUACAGACUGAUACUGACUUUUGGUUGGAAUAAAUGAGUGUGUACAAGAAUUUACCCUGCUCAGAAUCUGUCCUUACCUGUUUUAUUUGCCUCAAAUAUACAUAAAGGUUCAAGCAAAAGACUUGACACUUAACAAGAAACAUCCUGCAUUUAACCCCAGUUCUGCCCCAAAAUUUCCCAGUGACUUCACUAUUCCAUGUGUCUGGGUAACCAUCCACAGGUCUGGGGCUUAGUCCUAAGAGAGACUACUAAAGGUAACAAAUAAAUACA
Molecule: long non-coding RNA, 5999 nt
Organism: Pyrgilauda ruficollis (rufous-necked snowfinch)
Lineage: Eukaryota; Metazoa; Chordata; Aves; Passeriformes; Passeridae
Exons: 5
Source: RefSeq, a predicted model, not a curated record